UACGGGGGGGGCAAGCGUUGUUCGGAAUUACUGGGCGUAAAGGGCUCGUAGGCGGCCAACUAAGUCAGACGUGAAAUCCCUCGGCUUAACCGGGGAACUGCGUCUGAUACUGGAUGGCUUGAGGUUGGGAGAGGGAUGCGGAAUUCCAGGUGUAGCGGUGAAGUGCGUAGAUAUCUGGAGGAACACCGGUGGCGAAGGCGGCAUCCUGGACCAAUUCUGACGCUGAGGAGCGAAAGCCAGGGGAGCAAACGGG
RNAcentral lists this ribosomal RNA (253 nucleotides) under uncultured bacterium. Its description in RNAcentral is "partial 16S ribosomal RNA". It matches the Rfam family "Bacterial small subunit ribosomal RNA", at positions 524 to 776 of the family's 1533-position model. The record is from RNAcentral.